GACGAACGCUGGCGGCGUGCUUAACACAUGCAAGUCGAACGGAAAGGCCCUGCUUUUGUGGGGUGCUCGAGUGGCGAACGGGUGAGUAACACGUGAGUAACCUGCCCUUGACUUUGGGAUAACUUCAGGAAACUGGGGCUAAUACCGGAUAGGAGCUCCUGCUGCAUGGUGGGGGUUGGAAGGUUUCGGCGGUUGGGAUGGACUCGCGGCUUAUCAGCUUGUUGGUGGGGUAGUGGCUUACCAAGGCUUUGACGGGUAGCCGGCCUGAGAGGGUGACCGGCCACAUUGGGACUGAGAUACGGCCCAGACUCCUACGGGAGGCAGCAGUGGGGAAUAUUGCACAAUGGGCGGAAGCCUGAUGCAGCAACGCCGCGUGCGGGAUGACGGCCUUCGGGUUGUAAACCGCUUUCGCCUGUGACGAAGCGUGAGUGACGGUAAUGGGUAAAGAAGCACCGGCUAACUACGUG
RNAcentral lists this ribosomal RNA (467 nucleotides) under uncultured bacterium. RNAcentral's name for it is "partial 16S ribosomal RNA". It matches the Rfam family "Bacterial small subunit ribosomal RNA", at positions 28 to 507 of the family's 1533-position model. The record is from RNAcentral.